Xenia sp. Carnegie-2017 is the source of this 1305-nucleotide RNA transcript. RefSeq lists it as uncharacterized. Lineage: Eukaryota; Metazoa; Cnidaria; Anthozoa; Malacalcyonacea; Xeniidae. The transcript has 8 exons. The record is from RefSeq and is a predicted model, not a curated record.
UGGCAAAGGUGCCACUCAUGUCACCAGGACUGUUGUUUGAAUGGACGUUUCAAAUUGACUUCUAGAGUCAAUUUAAAGGUAUUUUCACUAUUAGCGUAUAGGGUUAAUUUAAGGAAGAGACUGGGUUGACACAACAGUUUACAUUCGUCCGAAGUCGUUACGUAUUUUUACGAGAGAAAGUACAACGCACGUGAAACGCGCGAAACCAGUCAGUUGUAACGUUCAUGGCGGCAGCACGCGGUGGAGAAGCAAGUUCAUUUAAUUGCUCGCAGUUUUCUUGUUUGAUAGGACAAGAUUCUCGCUUUUCUUCAGCUUGUAAGGAAAAUUUAAUCCAUUGUGAAGUAAGUAAUUUAUCCAUCGCUUCUCACGAAAAAAAAGAUGAUGAAAUAUGGACAUUGAGGUUGGAAAGCAGCGAAAAAGACCAUGAAAUAUGGACAUUGAGGUUGGAGCUCAGCACAAUGAAGUUGCAACUCAGCAAACAAAACGAUGAAAAUCGGAGAUUGAAGUUGCAAAACAGCGAAAAAGACAAUGAAAUAAGGAGCUUGAAAGAAGAACUAAAGGAAUAUAGGGAAAAAGAUCGAAAUGUGCCCGACAAACGUGUUCAAGUCAAAAAGGCUUCAGGUGGGCAAGAAACAUUGAAAGAGGCUCCUCUUUCAAAAGAAGAAACUGGUGAACUACAUAGAGAUCCAACACUGUCAAGGGAUGAACAGAAAUCGCCAAAAAAGGCAAUUCAAGUCUGUAAUGAAAAAAUGAAGAUUCUACGCCAGAGGCAAUUUGUCAACAGUUCCCAACAGCAAGGGAACAUACUGACAAGUCAGUUGUAAAUGAUAUUUCGCCAGACAAAGACAAUGAGCCGGGAAACGUGAAUAACAAUUCGAUAGAAGAGCUUGCGCACGAAACAAAUACAAGUGAUGAGGAAAAUGGCUUUAGUUCUCAACGCAUAUUAAUUGGUGAAACCAUUGAUCAAGUGCCAUGCACCCGUGAUAAAUUAUCAGACAGCAAAUUAACGCCAUUGGAGACAGACGUGCCAGAGGCAAUUUUUCAACAGUUCACAACAGCAAAGGAACAUACUGACAAGUCAGUUGUAAAUGACAUUUUGUCAGACAAGGAUAAUGAGGUCAGUUGGUUUGUGAAAGCAGACCAUUAACAAUACAAUAGUUGGUGAUAGUCUAUGGAAAUUUUUGAAGAUCCAAAUUUAAUUGGAAUGGGUUUAGAGUGUGGAUUAUUGGAGGAAAAUAGAAGUGCAUGAGGUGUACCGUGAAAAAUUUGCCGUUUAGAUUUAAGAAAUUAUAUAAAACAAAACUA